GAUGAAGAACGCAGCGAAAUGCGAUAAGUAGUGUGAAUUGCAGAAUCCGUGAGUCAUCGAAUCUUUGAACGCACAUUGCGCCCUCUGGUAUUCCGGAGGGCAUGCCUGUUCGAGCGUCAUUAUCACCCCUCAAGCCCGGCUUGCUGUUGGAUGCAGCGCUUAUCCCGCUCCUCCCAAAGAUAAUGAUGGCGUCUGCGACGACUCCUGUACACUGAGCUUUCGGGCACGUACACGGCCAGAAGUCCAGACCCGGUCGCCGUCCCCCUCGCGGGGACACCCAUUACCACAAGGUUGACCUCGGAUCAGGUAGGAAUACCCGCUGAACUUAAGCAUAUCAAUAAGCGGAGGA
This 349-nucleotide unclassified non-coding RNA is filed under the name soil metagenome. RNAcentral's name for it is "partial contains 5.8S ribosomal RNA, internal transcribed spacer 2, and large subunit ribosomal RNA". The stretch from base 1 to 119 matches the Rfam family "5.8S ribosomal RNA", at positions 35 to 154 of the family's 154-position model. The record is from RNAcentral.